RNAcentral lists this ribosomal RNA (491 nucleotides) under uncultured eukaryote. Its description in RNAcentral is "bacterial SSU rRNA". It matches the Rfam family "Eukaryotic small subunit ribosomal RNA", at positions 383 to 887 of the family's 1831-position model. The record is from RNAcentral.
CCGGAGAGGGAGCCCGAGAAACGGCUACCACUUCCAAGGAAGGCAGCAGGCGCGCAACUUACCCUAAUCUCGAUUCGAGGAGGUAGUGACAAGAAAUACCGAUGCGGGGACCCUACGGGGUGCCGCGUUCGGAAUGAGUACGAUUCGAACCACCUAACGAGGAACGAUCGGAGGGCAAGUCUGGUGCCAGCAGCCGCGGUAAUUCCAGCUCCAAUAGCGUACGUUAAAGUUGCUGCAGUUAAAAAGCUCGUAGUUGAACGUUCGGGUUCCGCGGGACGGGGCCGCCCCGCGAGGGACGGCGCCGCCCCGGGGCUCGUGAUAUCUCAUCUCGCCGCCCGUCGCGAGGCGGACGGAGGGAUGGAUGAGGUUACCUGGAAAAAAUCGGGGCGAUCUAGGCGGGCGAACCUCGCCAACGAACGAUCGGACAUGGGAUAACGGAAGAGGGCGUCGGCUCGACUUCGUCGGUUCCUCGGGCCGAGGCACGUACGGUG